Molecule: non-coding RNA, 814 nt
Organism: Prunus mume (Japanese apricot)
Lineage: Eukaryota; Viridiplantae; Streptophyta; Magnoliopsida; Rosales; Rosaceae
Source: RefSeq, a predicted model, not a curated record
CUAAUGAGUCCCUGUUCUUCGGUUAUUUCAUUGGAGACCUGUUCACCCUUUGAUGGACCUCUUCAUCGUCGUCUCUGGUAAUGGUGGUAGUGAACAUGCUCUGACUCAGGCUGCAAAUCUCUGAUUCCUGUUAGAUGUCUCCAUUGUUAUUGUAAAUGGAGGAUUUUGUUACUGAGAUGUAAAAGGUUUUGGCAUUGGUUCUCCUGAGGGUCCUAUAUCUCUUGAUGGUUUUUGAAGUAUUCAACUGUCAAACACGGAAUUGAGGAAGCAAUUAGAAAAUCAAGUUGUUACAAUUGAUACAUUGCACAAUGAGAAUUGUCUGGCUGUUGAGCGUCAUGAAAACGAAAAGAAAGUAUUGAAAGAAUCAGUUGCAAGAGCUUACCUUGAUGAACUGAGUUAGUUGCAUCACAUUCUGGAGAUUAAACAGAAGGAGCUUGUAGAGGUCAAUAGAAUAUCGGCACAAACAAAACAUGCUAUUGAAGACUUUAAUGAAAGGCUCAAUGGUACAACGCUGUCAUGUUCUGAAGCAAAUGAAAUAGCGAAUAGGUAACAAGGAGAAGAAUAAAUUUUACAGUUGAUAACAGUGAGCCGAGCCCGACGGGGCAGCGGAUUGGAUUCUCUGUUUCCUCCUGUAGUCUUGUAUCUGAGAAGUAUGGGAAGCUAGCUAGCUCAAUUUAAAAUUUAUACAUCUCUCACUCUUCAGGAGUUUUGAAUCAUGUUGUAUGUUUAUGUUGUACGCUAUGCUAGCCAUAUAUUUUUUUUAUUAUGAAAAAAGUGAAUUCAUUGAGAACAAUUAUGUUUCUGAAAAAUAAAA